RNAcentral lists this ribosomal RNA (867 nucleotides) under Hyaloscypha sp. TNS-F17335. RNAcentral describes it as "eukaryotic LSU rRNA". It matches the Rfam family "Eukaryotic large subunit ribosomal RNA", at positions 68 to 952 of the family's 3401-position model. The record is from RNAcentral. Lineage: Eukaryota; Fungi; Ascomycota; Leotiomycetes; Helotiales; Hyaloscyphaceae.
ACAGGGAUUGCCUCAGUAACGGCGAGUGAAGCGGCAACAGCUCAAAUUUGAAAUCUGGCUCUUUCAGGGUCCGUAGUUGUAAUUUGUAGAAGAUGCUUUGGGUGUGGCUCCGGUCUAAGUUCCUUGGAACAGGACGUCAUAGAGGGUGAGAAUCCCGUACGUGACUGGGUGCCUUCGCUCGUGUAAAGCUCUUUCGACGAGUCGAGUUGUUUGGGAAUGCAGCUCAAAAUGGGUGGUAAAUUUCAUCUAAAGCUAAAUAUUGGCCAGAGACCGAUAGCGCACAAGUAGAGUGAUCGAAAGAUGAAAAGCACUUUGGAAAGAGAGUUAAACAGUACGUGAAAUUGUUGAAAGGGAAGCGCUUGCAACCAGACUUGCAUGCUGUUGAUCAUCCGAGAUUUUUCCCGGUGCACUCGGCAGUAUUCAGGCCAGCAUCGGUUUCGGUGGGCGGAUAAAGGCCUUGGGAAUGUAGCUUCUUUCGGGGAGUGUUAUAGCCCUCGGUGCAAUGCGCCCUACCGGGACCGAGGACCGCGCUUCGGCUAGGAUGCUGGCGUAAUGGUUGUAAGCGACCCGUCUUGAAACACGGACCAAGGAGUCUAACAUCUAUGCGAGUGUUUGGGUGUCAAACCCAUACGCGUAAUGAAAGUGAACGGAGGUGAGAACCCUUAAGGGUGCAUCAUCGACCGAUCCUGAUGUCUUCGGAUGGAUUUGAGUAAGAGCAUAGCUGUUGGGACCCGAAAGAUGGUGAACUAUGCCUGAAUAGGGUGAAGCCAGAGGAAACUCUGGUGGAGGCUCGCAGCGGUUCUGACGUGCAAAUCGAUCGUCAAAUUUGGGUAUAGGGGCGAAAGACUAAUCGACCAUCUAGUAGCU